UAGUAGUAGUUAUGUUCUUGAAAAUUAAAAAAGUUGGCGGUAUUUUAGUCUAUUUAGAGGAACCUGUCCUGUGAUCGAUAAUCCACGAUUUGAUUUACUUAUUGUUUUAGUUUGCAUAUCGCCGUAGGUUGAAUAUUUUUAAAGAAUUAGUAAUAUUCAAUAAGUUGAUAAGAAAAAAAUUCAGGUCAAGAUGUAGCGUAUAAAUAAGAAGAGAUGGGUUACAAUAAAUAUAUUUAUGAUGAAUUAAUAAAUUUAAUUUUAUAAUGAAGGUGGAUUUAAAGGUAAU
RNAcentral lists this ribosomal RNA (286 nucleotides) under Rhyncogonus ochraceus. RNAcentral describes it as "partial 12S ribosomal RNA". Lineage: Eukaryota; Metazoa; Arthropoda; Insecta; Coleoptera; Curculionidae. The record is from RNAcentral.